GGCGGCGUGCCUAACACAUGCAAGUCGAACGGAGUCAUAUAACGGAAGUUUCGGAUGGAAGGUAUAUGACUUAGUGGCGGACGGGUGAGUAACGCGUGGGCAACCUGCCCUGUACCGGGGGAUAACACUUAGAAAUAGGUGCUAAUACCGCAUAAGCGCACAGCUACGCAUGUAGCAGUGUGAAAAACUCCGGUGGUACAGGAUGGACCCGCGUCUGAUUAGCUAGUUGGUGGGGUAGAGGCCCACCAAGGCGACGAUCAGUAGCCGGCCUGAGAGGGUGACCGGCCACAUUGGGACUGAGACACGGCCCAAACUCCUACGGGAGGCAGCAGUGAGGAAUAUUGGUCAAUGGACGAGAGUCUGAACCAGCCAAGUAAGCGUGAAGGAUGACUGCCCUAUGGGUUGUAAACUUCUUUUAUAAGGGAAUAAAGUGAGGGACGUGUCCCUUUUUGUAUGUACCUUAUGAAUAAGGAUCGGCUAACUCCGUGCCAGCAGCCGC
This 499-nucleotide ribosomal RNA is filed under the name uncultured bacterium. RNAcentral describes it as "bacterial SSU rRNA". It matches the Rfam family "Bacterial small subunit ribosomal RNA", at positions 38 to 518 of the family's 1533-position model. The record is from RNAcentral.